GUGAGGAAUAUUGCGCAAUGGAGGCAACUCUGACGCAGCCAUGCCGCGUGCAGGAAGAGGGCGCUACGCGUUGUAAACUGCUUUUAACCGGGAAGAAACCCCAGGACGUGUCCUGGGUUGACGGUACCGGAGGAAUAAGCACCGGCUAACUUCGUGCCAGCAGCCGCGGUAAUACGAAGGGUGCAAGCGUUAUCCGGAUUCAUUGGGUUUAAAGGGUGCGUAGGCGGAGCGUUAAGUCAGUGGUGAAAUCCUGCAGCUUAACUGUAGACUUGCCAUUGAUACUGGCGCUCUUGAGUGCGCUUGAAGUGGGCGGAAUGUGCCGUGUAGCGGUGAAAUGCUUAGAUAUGGCACAGAACACCAAUUGCGAAGGCAGCUCACUAAGGCGAUACUGACGCUGAGGCACGAAAGCGUGGGGAUCGAACAGGAUUAGAUACCCUUGUAGUCC
This 445-nucleotide ribosomal RNA is filed under the name uncultured bacterium. Its description in RNAcentral is "partial 16S ribosomal RNA". It matches the Rfam family "Bacterial small subunit ribosomal RNA", at positions 354 to 796 of the family's 1533-position model. The record is from RNAcentral.